UACGGAGGGUGCGAGCGUUGAUCGGAAUAACUGGGCGUAAAGGGCACGCAGGCGGGCUUUUAAGUGAGAUGUGAAAUCCCCGGGCUUAACCUGGGAAUGGCAUUUCAGACUGGGAGGCUGGAGUACUGUAGAGGGGGGUAGAAUUCCACGUGUAGCGGUGAAAUGCGUAGAGAUGCGGAGGAACACCGAUGGCGAAGGCAGCCCCUUGGGAAGUUACUGACGCUCAGGUGCGAAAGCGUGGGGAGCAAACAGG
RNAcentral lists this ribosomal RNA (253 nucleotides) under uncultured bacterium. Its description in RNAcentral is "partial 16S ribosomal RNA". It matches the Rfam family "Bacterial small subunit ribosomal RNA", at positions 524 to 776 of the family's 1533-position model. The record is from RNAcentral.